RNAcentral lists this ribosomal RNA (778 nucleotides) under uncultured Neocallimastigales. Its description in RNAcentral is "partial large subunit ribosomal RNA". It matches the Rfam family "Eukaryotic large subunit ribosomal RNA", at positions 22 to 645 of the family's 3401-position model. The record is from RNAcentral. Lineage: Eukaryota; Fungi; Neocallimastigomycota; Neocallimastigomycetes; Neocallimastigales.
GUACACGCUGUGACUAGCAUAUCAAUAAGCGGAGGAAAAGAAACUAACAAGGAUUCCCCUAGUAACGGCGAGUGAAGCGGGAAGAGCUCAAAUUUGAAAUCUUAAAGGGUUUCCCUUUACGAAUUGUAGUUUAAAGAAGUGUUUUCUGUUGAGGUUUUGGUAAAAGUUCUUUGGAAUAGGACAUCAUAGAGGGUGAGAAUCCCGUAUUUGACCUUUACUUUCAACUUUGUGAUGACACUUUCAAAGAGUCGGAUUGUUUGGGAAUGCAGUCCAAAAUGGGUGGUAAAUUUCAUCUAAAGCUAAAUAUUGGCGAGAGACCGAUAGCGAACAAGUACCGUGAGGGAAAGAUGAAAAGAACUUUGAAAAGAGAGUUAAACAGUACGUGAAAUUGUCAAAAGGGAAGCGUUUGACACCAGUGUUGUUUUUCUGAAAAUCAAUUAAAGAACUGUUUAUGCUAAGUUGUUUAGACUUUAUCAGCUAUCUGUUUAGUUUUGAGCUUUUCUUUAAUGCAGCUUUUCAGUUAACAAGUCAACAUCAAUUUCUCUUUGCCUGUAAAAAAGCUUGAGGAAGGUGGCUUGAGAUUCGUCUUAAGUGUUUAUAGCCUCUUGCCUAUGCAGUCGGAGAGAUUGAGGUCUGCAGCGUAGAUCCUUCGGGGCUAAAUGCAUUUGUGCUAAGUUAUAGCAUUUUAUAGACAACUUGUUGACUAUGAUUUGUCUUGUAGCUUACUUCGCUUAUGUUAUUUACCUACGCUUAGGAUGUUGAAGUCAUCGUAUCGCGC